AACGAACGCUGGCGGCAGGCCUCAAACAUGCAAGUCUAGGGGGUGCAGCAAUGCAUCACCGGCGGACGGGUGCGUAACGCGUGGGAAUAUACCUAUUGGUUCGGAACAACUGCGGGAAACUGCAGCUAAUACCGAAUGUGCCCGAAAGGGGAAAGAUUUAUCGCCAAUGGAUUAGCCCGCGUAGGAUUAGCUAGUUGGUGGGUAAUGGCCCACCAAGGCUCCGAUCCUUAGCNGUUCUGAGAGGAAGAUCAGCCACACUGGGACUGAGACACGGCCCAGACUCCUACGGGAGGCAGCAGUUGGGAAUCUUGGACAAUGGGGAACCUGAUCCAGCCAUGCCGCGUGGAUGAAGAA
RNAcentral lists this ribosomal RNA (354 nucleotides) under uncultured bacterium. RNAcentral's name for it is "bacterial SSU rRNA". It matches the Rfam family "Bacterial small subunit ribosomal RNA", at positions 29 to 412 of the family's 1533-position model. The record is from RNAcentral.